GAAGCUUAAUUAUGCUUCUCACAUUUAGUAGCAAGUUUAACGAAUCAUGAGGGUCGUACACAAAUAUUCGAUUUUCUUCUAAAUUUCCACCAAUUCACACACAUACAUAGGUAAUACAUGUAACAUGUGUGUCCUUAAUCACUGUCCAACUUGGAUUGGAAGUAUGAAGUUUAUUUGCUUUCAUCUUCCAAUCUCAUGUUCGCAAUGUGUUAUGCAUGAAUAGGCAAAAACCCUUUUCGUGGGUUGCUAUAGCAAAAUG
This 259-nucleotide unclassified non-coding RNA is filed under the name Hevea brasiliensis (rubber tree). The record is from RNAcentral. Lineage: Eukaryota; Viridiplantae; Streptophyta; Magnoliopsida; Malpighiales; Euphorbiaceae.